Acomys russatus (golden spiny mouse) is the source of this 129-nucleotide small nucleolar RNA. RefSeq annotates it as small nucleolar RNA SNORA65. The record is from RefSeq and is a predicted model, not a curated record. Lineage: Eukaryota; Metazoa; Chordata; Mammalia; Rodentia; Muridae. The transcript has a single exon.
CCCACCACUGCGCCUGACCAUCCCAUUGGCUGGUGCAUUCCAGUGGUGAGCUGACAGUAAGCCCCAGCUUUUAGGAAACAGGCUUGUCCUACAUGUGGAUGACUCUGUGCUGAGAGCAUGGGGACAGCC